This 243-nucleotide long non-coding RNA is filed under the name Manihot esculenta (cassava). Its description in RNAcentral is "long non-coding RNA (MESC_LNC002034)". Lineage: Eukaryota; Viridiplantae; Streptophyta; Magnoliopsida; Malpighiales; Euphorbiaceae. The record is from RNAcentral.
UCACAAUUAAUUAAUUGAAAUUUGCAAUGAAUAAAUUGACAAAAUAUAAACCAGAGAUUACUUUCUGAUCCCUUUCUUGUGGUAUGCUUCCAAAAUAGACACUUUUCACUUUUGGAGACUGAAGCAAUUUCAUUCAUGUUAGUAAGGGACCUACAAGCUCAACACAAACACUUUUGAAGACAAUUAGUAGCACACCAAUUGUUUAUUAAUCAUCAAAACAAGGAUUAGAACAUUUAGGUCCAA